This 376-nucleotide unclassified non-coding RNA is filed under the name soil metagenome. RNAcentral describes it as "partial contains 5.8S ribosomal RNA, internal transcribed spacer 2, and large subunit ribosomal RNA". The stretch from base 1 to 120 matches the Rfam family "5.8S ribosomal RNA", at positions 35 to 154 of the family's 154-position model. The record is from RNAcentral.
GAUGAAGAACGCAGCGAAAUGCGAUAAGUAAUGUGAAUUGCAGAAUUCAGUGAAUCAUCGAAUCUUUGAACGCAUCUUGCGCUCCUUGGUAUUCUGAGGAGCAUGCCUGUUUGAGUGUCAUUAAAUUCUCAACUACACUGACUUUGAAUUGGUGUGGCUUGGAUUUUGGGGGAAAAUUGUUGUGGGCUUUUUGUAUAGUCUGCUCCCCUGAAAUUGAUUAGCGGUACCUUUGUGGAACUGUCUACAGGUGUGAUAAUUAUCUACAUCUUAGACAUCUGCUGGAAUGCUGCUUUCUAAACCUUACUUGUAUUGACAAUCUUGACCUCAAAUCAGGUAGGACUACCCGCUGAACUUAAGCAUAUCAAUAAGCGGAGGA